GACGUAGGGCGCGAGCGUUGUCCGGAUUUAUUGGGCGUAAAGAGCUCGUAGGCGGUUUGUCGCGUCGAAUGUGAAAACCCGGGGCUCAACCCCGGGCCUGCAUUCGAUACGGGCAGACUAGAGUUCGGUAGGGGAGUCUGGAAUUCCUGGUGUAGCGGUGAAAUGCGCAGAUAUCAGGAGGAACACCGGUGGCGAAGGCGGGACUCUGGGCCGAUACUGACGCUGAGGAGCGAAAGCGUGGGGAGCGAACAGG
This 253-nucleotide ribosomal RNA is filed under the name uncultured bacterium. RNAcentral describes it as "partial 16S ribosomal RNA". It matches the Rfam family "Bacterial small subunit ribosomal RNA", at positions 524 to 776 of the family's 1533-position model. The record is from RNAcentral.